Molecule: ribosomal RNA, 635 nt
Filed under: Staphylococcus aureus
Lineage: Bacteria; Bacillati; Bacillota; Bacilli; Caryophanales; Staphylococcaceae
Description: partial 23S ribosomal RNA
Rfam family: Bacterial large subunit ribosomal RNA
Source: RNAcentral
GGUGAAAAGCACCCCGGAAGGGGAGUGAAAUAGAACCUGAAACCGUGUGCUUACAAGUAGUCAGAGCCCGUUAAUGGGUGAUGGCGUGCCUUUUGUAGAAUGAACCGGCGAGUUACGAUUUGAUGCAAGGUUAAGCAGUAAAUGUGGAGCCGUAGCGAAAGCGAGUCUGAAUAGGGCGUUUAGUAUUUGGUCGUAGACCCGAAACCAGGUGAUCUACCCUUGGUCAGGUUGAAGUUCAGGUAACACUGAAUGGAGGACCGAACCGACUUACGUUGAAAAGUGAGCGGAUGAACUGAGGGUAGCGGAGAAAUUCCAAUCGAACCUGGAGAUAGCUGGUUCUCUCCGAAAUAGCUUUAGGGCUAGCCUCAAGUGAUGAUUAUUGGAGGUAGAGCACUGUUUGGACGAGGGGCCCCUCUCGGGUUACCGAAUUCAGACAAACUCCGAAUGCCAAUUAAUUUAACUUGGGAGUCAGAACAUGGGUGAUAAGGUCCGUGUUCGAAAGGGAAACAGCCCAGACCACCAGCUAAGGUCCCAAAAUAUAUGUUAAGUGGAAAAGGAUGUGGCGUUGCCCAGACAACUAGGAUGUUGGCUUAGAAGCAGCCAUCAUUUAAAGAGUGCGUAAUAGCUCACUAGUC